GAUAACCGCGAUAGGUCAAGAUUUCUGGAAUGAUUCUUGGCCAAAAUCUAUAUGGCCUCUGGAUUGGACUGCGGCCGAUCAGGCUGUUGGUGAGGUAAUGGCCCACCAAACCUAUAACCGGUACGGGCUCUGAGAGGAGAAGCCCGGAGAUGGGCACUGAGACAAGGGCCCAGGCCCUAUGGGGCGCAGCAGGCGCGAAACCUUUGCAAUAGGCGAAAGCCUGACAAGGUUACUCUGAGUGAUUUCCGCUAAGGGGAUCUUUUGACACCUCUAAAAGCGGUGUAGAAUAAGGGGUGGGCAAGUCUGGUGUCAGCCGCCGCGGUAAUACCAGCACCCCGAGUGGCCGGGACGAUUAUUGGGCCUAAAGCAUCCGUAGCCGGUUUUACAAGUCUUCCGUUAAAUCCAGCCGCUCAACGGGUGGGCCGCGGAGGAUACUGUAGAACUAGGAGGCGGGAGAGGCAAGCGGUACUUAGUGGGUAGGGGUAAAAUCCACUGAUCCAUUGAAGACCACCAGUGGCGAAGGCGGCUUGCCAGAACGCGCUCGACGGUGAGGGAUGAAAGCUGGGGGAGCAAACCGGAUUAGAUACCCGGGUAGUCCCAGCUGUAAACGAUGCAGACUCGGUGAUGGGCUAGCCUUGUGCCAGCCCAGUGCCGCAGGGAAGCCGUUAAGUCUGCCGCC
Molecule: ribosomal RNA, 679 nt
Filed under: uncultured archaeon
Lineage: Archaea
Description: bacterial SSU rRNA
Rfam family: Archaeal small subunit ribosomal RNA
Source: RNAcentral